Acipenser ruthenus (sterlet) is the source of this 1142-nucleotide long non-coding RNA. RefSeq lists it as uncharacterized. The record is from RefSeq and is a predicted model, not a curated record. The transcript is spliced from 4 exons. Lineage: Eukaryota; Metazoa; Chordata; Actinopteri; Acipenseriformes; Acipenseridae.
AAGAGGUUCAGCUGUGCCAGGCUGCCUGCCUGCCUGCCUUUCGAAGAAAGUGCUUGAAAGUGAAAGAAAGGGGUGAAGAAUAAUGAACACGCAGGCGAUUUAGUACCCCCAAGACACACUUGUGCUUGCGAAGCUGAGGUCCUUAAAAACCUUCGAAAACAUUUAGAGAAGGAAACCAAAACUGCUGUACCAGAACUACCAGCCCUGAUUGCCAAAGUCGCUGAACUUCAGAAACAUUCCAGCAAAACUAAAUCAGGAUGCAUUAAAAAAUCAGAAAAAACAAAACCAGGCAGACUUUUUAUGAAAUAUCGACAAUACUUCUGGAGAUGGAACGAACAAGGGUGUUUAAAGCAUCAGUAACAUGGGACACUACACAGCUGAAGUCACUGGCCAUAACUCUCCUUCCCAUCCCUGAGCUUCAGAUCAAGCCUCUCUGUUGACCACGAGGAUCAUUUACUGUAAUGGGAUACGUCUUAAAAGUGUUCCUCCUGCCUUUAAGUGAGAGCAUCUUUAUUUAUUUAUUUAUUUAAUUUUAGCCAAAAUAGACAACUAAGGGGGAUUCAGCUUAUACCUCACCAGAUGUACUACAGCUGUCUUUUUUUGUUAUUUAACAGUGAAUUCCCCUAGUUUUCAUCAGGGAUAAUGACAGAUAGGUGGUUGAUGUAAUCCUGGCUGAUUCCCCUAGUGUUGUGAAAUGAUCUAGAAAUACACUGGUUGAUCAAAUCAACCCCUUAGUUUUCUUGUUUAUAUUACAUUGAAGUUAAGUAUUUUUAAGAGGAUAUUUAUAUUUAUGUAGGUAUUUAUCUAUUUAUUUAUUUGUUUUGAGAUUUUAUAUAAAAUAUUAAUGUUAUCUUUAGGUCAAGGUGUGUCUUUGACAGUGUUUAAAUGGCAGUGAAUCAGUGUUGACAGUGUUUGAUUAGUAAAUGACAUUAUUUGAUUGGGUUGAAAGAUUUCUGAAUGUUUAAUAACAGACAUUUCUUUAAUGCAACACUGCUACUAAAAUAGUAAUAAAAUCACUGUAAGAGUAUCCAACGAUGUUGGUAAUAUUGUAAGCUUUAUAACCUCUCUUACCAUUACAGAAUUUAAUGUAUUUGUAUUAAUUAUUUAUUGAUAAAUAUUUUUGUAAGACAUUAUAUGUAAUA